GAUGAACGCUGGCGGCGUGCCUAAUACAUGCAAGUCGAGCGGAAGGACGAGACGCUUGCUUCUCUGAUGUUAGCGGCGGACGGGUGAGUAACACGUGGAUAACCUACUUAUAAGACUGGUAUCACUUCGGGAAACCGGAGCUAAUCCCGGAUAAUAUUAUGCACCGCAUGGUUCAAUAGUGAAAGACGGUCUUGCUGUCACUUAUCGAUGGAUCCGCGCUGCAUUAGCUAGUUGGUACGGUAACGGCUUACCACGGCAACUAUGCAUAGCCGACCUGAGAGGGUGAUCGGCCACACUGGAACUGAGACACGGUCCAGACUCCUAAGGGAGGCAGCAGUAGGGUAUCUUCCGCAGUGGGCGAAAGCCUGACAGAGCAACGCCGCGUGAGAGAUGAAGGUCUUCGGAGCGUAAAACUCUGUUAUUAGGGAAGAACAGAUGUGUAAGUAACUGUGCACAUCGUGACGGUACCUAAUCAGAAAGCCACGGCUAACUACGUG
RNAcentral lists this ribosomal RNA (497 nucleotides) under uncultured bacterium. RNAcentral's name for it is "partial 16S ribosomal RNA". It matches the Rfam family "Bacterial small subunit ribosomal RNA", at positions 28 to 507 of the family's 1533-position model. The record is from RNAcentral.